UGGUUCUGGCAUCGAUGAAGAACGCAGCGAAAUGCGAUAAGUAAUGCGAAUUGCAGAAUUCAGUGAGUCAUCGAAUCUUUGAACACAUAUCGCGCCCUUUGGUAUUCCGAAGGGCAUGCCUGUUCGAGCGUCAUUAUCAACCAUCAAGCCUGGCUUGUUGUUAGACUUUUGGUUAUAAAACCGGUCUGAAAGAUAGCAGAUGGGAUCUGGCAGCCCUGGAUAUAAUAAGCUGUUUAUAGCACAUAUCUAUAGGUUAGCAGCCCUAUCUUUAAACCCCUAAUUUUCUCAGGUUGACCUCGGAUCAGGUAGGAAUACCCGCUGA
This 322-nucleotide unclassified non-coding RNA is filed under the name uncultured fungus. Its description in RNAcentral is "partial contains 5.8S ribosomal RNA and internal transcribed spacer 2". The stretch from base 1 to 133 matches the Rfam family "5.8S ribosomal RNA", at positions 22 to 154 of the family's 154-position model. The record is from RNAcentral. Lineage: Eukaryota; Fungi.